Molecule: transfer RNA, 61 nt
Filed under: Ictidomys tridecemlineatus (thirteen-lined ground squirrel)
Lineage: Eukaryota; Metazoa; Chordata; Mammalia; Rodentia; Sciuridae
Description: Spermophilus tridecemlineatus (thirteen-lined ground squirrel) tRNA
Rfam family: tRNA
About the family: Transfer RNA (tRNA) molecules are approximately 80 nucleotides in length. Their secondary structure includes four short double-helical elements and three loops (D, anti-codon, and T loops). Further hydrogen bonds mediate the characteristic L-shaped molecular structure. tRNAs have two regions of fundamental functional importance: the anti-codon, which is responsible for specific mRNA codon recognition, and the 3' end, to which the tRNAs corresponding amino acid is attached (by aminoacyl-tRNA synthetases). tRNAs cope with the degeneracy of the genetic code in two manners: having more than one tRNA (with a specific anti-codon) for a particular amino acid; and 'wobble' base-pairing, i.e. permitting non-standard base-pairing at the 3rd anti-codon position.
Source: Rfam by way of RNAcentral
GGGAAUGUAGCUCAGGGUAGAGCAAUUGCUUACUAUGCAAGAGGCCCUGAGUCCAAUCCCU